GGGUUAGUAGGUUGGUCAUGCCUCUGGUAUGUACUGAUCUCACUGAUUCCUCCUUCCUGAUGAGCCGUAAUGCCAUUAAUUUGGUGUUUUGGGGAAUUUGGACUGUUACUUUGAAAAAAUUAGAGUGUUUAAAGCAAGCUUACGCUUGAAUACAUUAGCAUGGAAUAAUGAAAUAGGACAUCAUAUUCUAUUUUGUUGGUUUCUAGGAUCGAUGUA
RNAcentral lists this ribosomal RNA (216 nucleotides) under Campeiostachys nutans. RNAcentral describes it as "Elymus nutans partial small subunit ribosomal RNA". It matches the Rfam family "Eukaryotic small subunit ribosomal RNA", at positions 656 to 864 of the family's 1831-position model. Lineage: Eukaryota; Viridiplantae; Streptophyta; Magnoliopsida; Poales; Poaceae. The record is from RNAcentral.